Molecule: non-coding RNA, 1273 nt
Organism: Pelodiscus sinensis (Chinese soft-shelled turtle)
Lineage: Eukaryota; Metazoa; Chordata; Testudines; Trionychidae
Source: RefSeq, a predicted model, not a curated record
CCUGAGCACUUGGCAGGCGCAGACAAAUGCCCCCGCGGGCACCGUGUUGGGGACCACGGCUCUAGUGCCUACCCUCCCCGUGCUCCGGGGGCCAGGGAGGCUGGAGCCGCCGUACGGCCUCCUCCCUCCUCUGGGGAGGCGGAAACCGAGCUGCAUGGCCUCCUCCCAUCCCAGUGCUCCAGGGGCCGGGAAGGCUGCAGUGCAUGCACAUGCCACUUCCAUCUCUUCCCGUGGGGGCGCUGCCUCACCUCCUCCCCUCCCCAUGGGGGCAGGGCCUCAGCAAAGGAGGUGGGGUUAGGUGGGGUUGGGGACCUGUCUCCCUCAGCCCCAUCUGCACUAACUGACCAUGGUAAUUUCCAUUGUGGAUCUGGACCAUAGUAACUGGCUUACAUCUUGAAUCAUGACAAGAGAUUUUAUUUCUCAUACAGUAUAUCUUUAUCUUAGGCAACAAAUGUUUGUGGCUUACCAUAAAGAUAAGAGAUGUGUGUUUGGUGAAGACUACCUCAAGUGACUGGUCAUUUUGGUGACUAGGGGAAUUAAUCCUAGACUAUAGGGGCAGAGAAGAGAGAAAGCCCUAAGACUCCCUGCUGGACCUUGCUUGUGGGGAAGAAAUUCAUCUAGAAGUGGCUGCGUGUGCUGCUGCUCCCCCUCCCCGGCUGGGGGAACAACAGCACAGGAAUGUGCUUUCCUGGAGGCUUUUCCCACUGCUCUGGAAUCCGGCCAAUAGGAGCAGCGGGAGGCGGUGCCUGGGGCAUGAUGUUGGGAGCUGCGCAAAAGCAAGUAAGUGGCCCCCCUUCUCCUCAUGCCCAAACCCCACAUCCCCAGCCCACUCACUCACCGCCUCCAUCAAGACCCCGCAGCCCACUCAUUCACUGCCUCCAUUCAGAUCCCGCACCCCCAACCUGCUCACUCACCACCUCCACCAAGACCUGCUCAUUCACCACCUCCACCAAGAUCCUGCACCCCAGCCCGCUCGCUCAGCACCCUGCCAACAUCCUGCACCUCCAGCGUGCUCACAAAUCAGAAAAAAAUCCUUUGUCAGAUCACGUGUCCCAAUUUUGGUUUGGAAAAUAGGUUCACCGUAACUAUAGGUCAAAUGAGGAAGUGAAAGCAAAGAGAUGUCAUAGUGUAGUCUCCUAAAAAUCUCUCUGUACACUUUGUCCACUGGGAGCACAAAUUAAAUAUAAGAUAUCCAGUUCACUCCAUUGCUGUGUUAUGCAAUAUGCUUAGUAAAUCUGUGCCAGGAUUGUGCCUGUGGGGAGAGCUGUGACAG